Molecule: transfer RNA, 71 nt
Filed under: Exophiala mesophila
Lineage: Eukaryota; Fungi; Ascomycota; Eurotiomycetes; Chaetothyriales; Herpotrichiellaceae
Description: tRNA-Asp (ATC) (tRNA-Asp-ATC-1-1)
Rfam family: tRNA
About the family: Transfer RNA (tRNA) molecules are approximately 80 nucleotides in length. Their secondary structure includes four short double-helical elements and three loops (D, anti-codon, and T loops).
Source: RNAcentral
UCCUCGAUGGUCUAGUGGUCAUGAGUAAGUUCUUAUCACGGGAGACCAGGGUUCGAUUCCCUGUCGGGGAG